GUGUAACUGACCACCUUUCCUAUUCCCAAUAGGAUAUACAAAUAUAUGGAAACAAACCUGGACCUAGCAGCCUCCUGAAAUCUUCUGAAACAUAAAGUAGUCAAGUACCCUUCUGAUUCUUAUAAGAACUCCUAAAUCAGCAAGAAGAGCUGACUGAUAGACCUAUAAUAGACUGACUGGGUCCUGUUUGGUCGACAUCAGGACUCUUCAGAAUUGGAAACCAGGAACUGUUUUUUAGCCCCAUUGAAAGGAGUGGCUAGCCACUUAAUAAUAGCCCAAAUAUGAGGCUGGGUGGUACCUGAAAAGAAAAUAAGUAUAUAUUGGGAGGCUAAUUGCAGCCCAUGUUGAUGCCCAAAGAUCCAUGUAAAUAUCCCUAAAAUGUUGAAGGGUAAAUUACAGCAACACCUCGAAAGCUCUAAUUUUUUCAAUUAGACACCCAAGCAUACAUUUUUGUUGCAAUGUGGCCCAACUGUCCAGUAGAUGUCUAAUGCUGUUACUGAUGACCGUCAAAUUAGUAUUUUAUCCUCUCAUUUUAAACUUGGAAAAAAACUGUCUGAAAAUUAUAAAGACAUCUCUUCAACUUUUUGCAAUUUGCAUGUGCACCCCAAAACUUCCUAAAAGUUAUACUUCAUCCCUUCCCGAAUUGCUAUAUCUACAACUGCUUAUGAGGUGAAACUCUUCAUAUUUACCAUCUCAUUCCACUUCUCAACGCUUCAUUUCAGUGCCCUGUGACCAUAUAUUUAAGAGAUUUGCGAGAGAUCUUGCUUGGAAAAAUCAGUUAAAUUUAUUUUCUUGCUUGGAAAAAAUAUGCCUAACAUUAAAGAUGCCUUGGUUCAUAUAUGGAUCACCCUUAGAACUGGUGGCCGGGAUUUGCCGUAGUUCAUGAGGUCUUUAAUGGAGCCUUCAGCCCACAUUUGUAGAAUAUGGGAAGGAGCUGAUGGGAGCUCUAACUAGAGCUUUGGGUAGAGUUCAUACUUGGAGCCAUGGAAAUUUCAGGUUCCUCUCCUCCGUAUGCUCUCUCCUCCUCUCUUCUCCCUUCCCUCUAUCAGUAGUCUCUUUUUCCUUCAUUCUCUCCUCUUCUCUCUAUUAAUUAGAUUGGGAAGCGCUUGUUCAGUAAGAAAGAAAGAGGAAUGGAAGGGGUCGAUCUCCUUCUGUUCCUGCCAAAACAAGGGUAUUGUUGGUAUUUCCUGCCAACAAGGGUGUUGUUGAUAUUUCCUAUCUAAAGUUAUCUCACGUGACUAUUAUGUGUUCAUAGAUCAUGACGGAGCUAGAUGGUUGGACCACAUUGCAACAAAAACCUAAGUUUUGGGGUCUAAUUGAAAAAAUUGGAGCUUUUGGGAUGCGAGUGUAAAUUGUGAAACAUUGAAGGGGUGUUGUUGUAAUUUACCCAAAAUUGAAAAUAAGAUUCAUUGAAAAAAAAAAUAAGGUAAAUUUAAGGCCCAAGAAAGGAGCCAAUUGAAUUGAUUGCCUGACCUCCUUGCUGGCAUGGUCCAGCCAAAGGAUAUCUUUUAGCUGGUCCCCUCCUGCCAAAAAGCUGCAGUAUUUAAUCUUCACGAGACUUAUAACUAACCAAUUAGAGGCUGGUAACAUGCAUAAAUUUGUCGCAGCUGUUAUGUUUUUCUUGGUAACUUUAGUUAUUGAAAAUCAAUGAGAUAUUUUGGAAUAUGGUAUUUUGAAAGGCUGAUAUUUUGCCUUAAUGGUCAGAAUGAACAUUAGGCAAGACAAUAAGGAUAAAAACUUUGAGUUUGUUGUUAGGACAGUAACUCUUAUAGUAGUUGUUGUUUGGUAUGUCUUACCCAGCUAUGAGUAUCAAUACUUGGACUAAAUAUGUGUGUGUGUGAGAGAGAGAGAGAGAGAGGGGGAGAGAGAUGUUCCUUUUCCAUAGUUUUCUUAUAAGUUAUAGGGAAGUUGAAAGUCUACUUAAGCAUUAAAUACGGUUUCAAUGUGGUGGGAAUUGUUGUCUAUGGAAAUUGUUCAAUCAUUUUGCAUGUGUUUGCUUUGAGAUAGGAAUGGGCAUAGAAUGAAUUGACACAUCCACGACUUGAUUUUUUGUAUGACAAUUUCUUUCAAAAUAAUCAUAAGAUAAUGCUAUUUACUUGGGGAAAACUUUCAACUAGGUCCCAUUAGUUGUAAUGCAAUUGAUGGCAUAGGGAUGCCCCCAUGUGAUUGUUCGCUGUCUAUAGUGUAUUUGAGAAUGAAGUCGUUUGUACUAUAAAUAGAGUGGGUGGAUCAUCGAUGGAUUGGCAAGGUUUUUCUGCAUGCCUUUGAGGACUCAUUUGGCGCAUAGGAAGAGGAGGGGGGAAGUGUAGUUAGCAGAAAAAUAAAAAAAAUACCUCAUAUUUGGUUGGAAUUCUCAAAGAGAGAGAUACACAUCUCUUUUGAAAUACACCUUGAGAUUCGAUCCACAAAAAAUCCAGAACGAGAUUUAGGAUGAUAAACGGAGUCCAACGAGCCCAAAAUUAGCCCAAAUGGAGUCCAGACGGUGAAGAUACACGCGAGAGAAGUUUGGAGCAGGUGGCAUGGCCCAUAGGGCGGCGGUGCAGCUAGGCCCGACAGACGUGCAGGCGCACGGCCCAGUGCUGGCGAGCGUGGGAGUGUGUGGUGUGCGGCCCUGGCCCAGGCCCAAACGAGUGCGUGUGCGGGUGUGGCCCAGGCCCAGGCAGGCGUGCGUAGGCGCAGCCCGCGCGACUCCACGUGGUCCACGCGCAGUGCGUGGACCGACGGUCCAUGGGAGGCUUUGUGGAUCGGGCGGACGUUUCCCACUAGUUUCUCGCGAUCCACCGUGGAUCGAAGAUGGUUUUCCAGUGGUUUCUCACGGUUCAUGCGGGCUGUUGUGGAUUAGGGUGCGAUCGGACGGCCUGCAGGGCUUGCGGUCAAGAUCCAAUGGCUCUGAGCCAUUCUAGGUGAUUAGAGGACGUGCAGGGUCAUGAUGGGGCACGAUCCAACAGUCAGUUUUCAAUCCGAGGUGCGAUCGGAUGGCCGAGAAGCUACAGGAGUCCGAUCGAGAGUCUGAUUUCAAUUUGAGCUGGGUUUUAGGGCCUUUAAGAGGCCCUGUGGGCGAACAGAACCGUGAACAUGUAGAGAGCGGUAGAGAGCCAUGAGCGGAGGCAUCACUGCGAGGAAGACUCGAGUAGCCAUUGAAAAGACUCCGAUAGAGCACCGAGUGUGCGCAGUGGGCAGAGCAGGCACUGUAGAGCACCGACAGGAGAUCGGGGGCAGAGCAGAGCGUCAGACAGAGCAGCUGCGAAAAGGCAUGAUGUAGCGAUUCACUCUAUAGGAAGCGUCCAGGGGCGUCGAGGAUCCUCGUACUGGUAGGCUUGUGAGAGGGUCUCCUUGGAGAAUUUGAGAGAGCUUUUAUGAGAAUAGCUUCUAGUUGAGGAUGGUAUACAGAGUUGAGAUUGGGUGUUGUCUUCUUGUAUUUAUUUUUUCUCAUAGUGAAGCUUGCAUGCCCCAUGGAAGUAGCGCUUGGGCUGUUCCACGUAUCUGAUUGUGUCUGUAUUGUUUUUUCUUUCUUCCUGCUGCAACGCAAGUGGUAUUGAAAAGGUCUUGAGAUGGUGGUGUCCUGAUCAGACAUCUCCAACAAUUGGUAUCAGAGUUAGACGGUAUCAGCGCAGGUUGCGGCGGUGGUGAGCAAGAUUAAAGAUGGAGAAGACAUGCACAAUCAAGGUAGAGAUCAAUCGCGGAGGGUUGAUCGAUGCUCUCUGGUGCAAGGGGCCAUCUAUAUGGAGGAUGCCAGUGAGAGCCUAGUGCGAGGUGGAGCUCUAGGUGAUGGAUUCGGCAUUGUACGGGAGACUCGAGAGGAGGAUAAGUGAUGUCACUAGGAGGCUACUACCCCGAGUAGGUCUCAGGUCAGGUGUUGUGAGGUGCGUACAGCAUAUGACGGAGAUGGGAUGGAACGGUCUUGCUCGACUCCCAUAUUUGUCCAUCCAUGAGUAGCAGACGUUUGUCCCAGAGCAUGGGGGCGAGGAGAUUCAGAACUCUCAAAGUCAGAUAGAGAUCGAAUAUCGAGUCGAGAUGGAGAUUGGUAGAAAAUACGUCUCGAGAUUUGUUCCAUAAGAAGUCCAAAGGAGAUUCAGGACGACGAACGGAGUUUAACGAGCCCAAGAUCAGCCCAAACGGAGUCCAGAUGGCAAAGAUAUACGCAAGAGAAGUUUGGAGCAGGUGGCACGGCCCACAGGACGGCGGAGGCCGAUGGCGGUGCAGCCAGGCCUGGUAGACGCACGGGCGUGUGGCCCAGCGCCGGCAAGGUGGGAGCGUGCGGUACACGGCCCAGGCCCAGGCUGGCACGCAUGCAGGUGUGGUCCAGGCCCAAGCGGGCACGCGCAGGCACAGCCCGGGCGACUCCACGUGGUCCAUGUGCGGUGCGUGGACCAAUGGUCCAUGGGAGGCUCUAUGGAUCAAGCGGAUGUUUUCCACUGGUUUCUCACAGUCCAUCGUGGAUUGGAGAUGGUUUCCCAGUGGUUUCUCGCAGCUCAUGCGGCGCUCUCGUGGACCAGUGCACGAUCGGACGGCUUGCAAGGCUUGCGGUCAAGAUCCAAUGGUUGUGAGCCGUUCCAGAUGAUCAGAGGAUGUGCAGGGUCACGAUGGGGCACGAUCUAAUGGCCAGUUUUCGAUCUGAGGUGCAAUCGGAUGGUCGAGAAGCUAUAGGAGUCCAAUCCAGAGUUUGAUUUCGAUCCGAGCUGGGUUUUAGGGCCUUUAAGAGGUCGUGUCGGCGAACAGAAUCAUGAACAUGCAGAGACAGCGGCAGAGAGCCGUGAGCGGAGGCAUCAGUGCGAGGGAGGAUCGAGUAGCCAUCGGAAGGAGUCCGGUAGAGUGCUGAGUGUGCGCAGCGGGCAGAGCAGACACUGCAGAGCACCGAUAGGAGAUCAGGGGCAGACUAGAGCAUCAGACAGAGAGCUGUGGAGAGGCACGAUGUAGCGGUUCGCUCCAUAGGAAGUGUCCAGGGGCGUUGAGGAUCUUGGUACUGGCAGGCUUGUGAGGUUUUUUUUGGAGGAUUUGAGAGAGCUUUUGUGAGGAUAGCUUCUAGUUGAGAGAGGGUGGUAUACAGAGAGUUGAGAGUGGAUGUUCUCCUCUUGUAUUUAUUUUUUUCUCAUAGUGAAGCUUGCAUGCCCCGUGGAGGCAGCGCUUGGGCUAUUCCACGUACCUGAUUGUGUUUGUAUUGUUUUCUUCUUUCUUCCUGUUGCGACGCGAGUGGUAUCGAAAAGGUCUUGAGGUGGUGGUGUCCUGACUAGACAUCCCCAACAAUGGGAAGGUAUCUUUCCAAUGGGAAUAAGUUUUCUAUAUUUCAUAGGAAAGAAAAACCCAUGUGGGAUGUGGGAAAGCCACUUUCCAACGGGAUGGGAAUUAUGGUAAUCUUUUUCGAAAAGUGCCCUUAAGCCAUCAUUAUGUUCUUAAUUGCUAUUUUUGAUAGUUAAUCUUACACUAUUAAAAAUUACAACAAUAUAAAGGACUUGUAGUAAUUUUGAUAUAAAAAUAUAUGAGGAACUAUUUGAAAUUAUCACAAUAUAAAGAAGUUAUCUGACUAUUAACUAAAAACUCAACCCAAUAGAUAUUUUUAAUAGCUAUUUUUAAAUAUUUUUGGAUUUAAAAAUAUUUAAACAUAGCUAUUAAAAAUAUAUUAUGAAUUGUGCUAAUUUUAAUAGUUAGACAAGUAUCCAAAUAUGUUAUGAAUUGUGGUAAGUUUAAUAGUUAAAAUAGCUGUUAAAAAUAUAUUCUGAUCUCUUUGGUGUUGAACUUUCAAAACCUUUAGACCUUGGUAUUUCAAGUAUUUGAUUACAAAACUUAUGCAUGUGAUAUAUUUUUUUUGUAGUCCCCUUAUUAAGGGCAUAUAAGGUAUUUUACACAAUUUUCCUGAGAAAGUAGAUGUUCAACCAAAUAUAAGUUACUCUUGAAGGUGCGUCUCCUAUGCCACUUUCCUAUGGUCUACCAAAUAUGCAAAAACUACUUUCUCAGGUGUCAUUUGCUCAGGCAUCUUCUUAAGAAAAACAUAAUAUUGAGGUAAAAUUUUUGCCACGAACCAAGCGAAUCCUGAAUGUUAAGACAAAAAUUGUCAGACAUGAUCAUUGUUGGUUCAUAAGGUUGGACAAUAAAGAAUGUGUAAACAUAGUAGACUUUUGUUGCAAUGGAAAAGAAAGGAAGGGGAGGAAAUUGAGAUGAUAUGGGUUUCUGCAAUAAAGAAUGAUGCAAUAUCUUAUAAAUAGAGUGUUUUGGUUUGUGUAAGUCCUAGAGAGUUGAGGAAAAAUGAGAUGAGGACCUAUACGAAGAUCUGGAUUAAUAUUGUCACUUGUGAGAGGAGUGCAUUGACGAGCUGGUGUUUAUUGAUGACCAAUGCUAUAGCCUUGGUAGGAACAAAUAAAGAUGAAGGGUUAACAUAUGAUGCAAUAUAGAUGGGAUGACUUGUUGAUUGUUAUGAAAGCUACAGCGACAGCUACAGCUACCUCAGUGUACAUAUAUUUAUGAGAUAAUUCUAUCUAGAGCUGUGGUAGGUGAACAGAAAUACUUCUUUUAAUUGUAAAGGAAACUAAUACAUCUAAUUUAGGGGGUGCAGGAAUUAAUUGAAAUAUCUAACAUGGUUUCAUGUUUAGUAGAUAUUGUCAUAAUGCCUGUUGAGAUUUCAGGUCAGCAGCAAUGCCUUUUCUUAUUGUUCAGUGACCUGAUACUGUAUUUUUCUUUCUUAAACAGAUAGAUGAUAAGCUUUAUAUAUACCUGGAAUAUGUCUCUGGUGGUUCCAUCCAUAAACUUCUUCAAGAGUAUGGGAAAUUAGGUGAACCAGCAAUUCGUAGCUAUACUCAACAAAUACUUUCAGGCCUGGCAUAUUUGCAUGCUAAGAAUACUGUCCAUAGGUAUAAUUCAAUAUCAGAAUUCAUUUUACUGAAAUUUCCCUCUGGGUGUCUGAUACUCCUGCUCCUAGAUUAUUAUUUCUGAUUCUAAUUAAUUUUUUCCUGCCUGUGCAGAGACAUCAAAGGUGCAAAUAUUCUUGUAGACCCAAAUGGUCGUGUUAAGCUGGCAGAUUUUGGGAUGGCAAAGCAUGUAUAAUUUUAUAUUUCCUAUUAUAGCCUUUCAUAAUUUUGGGAAUAUGCAUUUGCCUAAUUCUUGUGCUGCUGCACUUAACAUUAAAUUUGAUGAUUUUAUAGUUUAUCUUCUCUGAUGCUCAGGUGCUUAUGUUCAUAUCAUUUGUCAAAGUUUUUGCUAUUUCCCACUCUUUAGAGAUCCAGCUUUUUAUCAGCAUCCAGAGGUGGUCUUAUAUCUGUUGCUAACUUUAGGCAUGAAUAUAUUUGCUAUAAUGUAUGAUGCUUGAGCUGUAAGUGCUUUAGAGACAGGACAGAAAAAGUGUCCUAUGAAAUGAGUGUGUUCUCAUCAUAUCUCACUGUCUUAUAGAGAGGCUGAAGAUGAAAUCGUAAAGGGAAAGGAGAGGCAUGACUUCCUGAUGAUUCAUGGAGUCGACUGGUUGAUUAUUAGUGGAUAAGCUUUUUUCCCUUUUUUUCUAAGAAACACAGCGAGAAUGCCACCAUGUUGGUUUGAACUCGGGACCUCUCCCCAACAAAAGAGUGUUGCCAGCCAGCUGAUCCAAGUGUCUGCUGGCAUGAGAGGAAUAUGUGUUUCAACCAAAGUAGAGAUUAAAAAUGUCAUGCUAACAGAAAAAUAAAGUUAACAGGUUGAAGGAGAAACUUUCAACUAACUACUAACUGAGAUUAAAAAUAACAAAUGGAAAGAAGAAACUCUCUAGGAUGUCAUGGUUUUCUUCUUUUAUGCCUUAUUUCUGUUAUUAUCAGUGUAUAUUGCGUUCCAUAUUGGGCCCGAAUCGAGAUAAAGAGAGGGCGGAGGAGAACGAGAGAGGAUGAGGGAGAGAGGGCCUCCGAAGGGCAGCUGAGCUUGCACAUGGUGGAAACUAGAGGAGGGCAGAGGGAGGGAAGGAGAGGGAGAGGGAGAGGAGGCUGUCGGAGGCCUCUGGAGGGCUGGUGAUGCCGCUUUGCUACUAUUGAGGUUGGAGGAGGGGCUCCCACCCUUCUCCAGAUCAAAACAUGGGCUUUGGCCCUGGUUUCCUCUUUUUUUUUUUUUGCACCAUUUAUCGGGUGGAGUCGGCAACAUCAUUGCAGAAACAAAGUUGCAGACUUCAUUGGUUUUUCUAUUUUUUUUGAGAUUUUCGAUUGAAGUUGGCAACCUGAUAAAUCUCAACUGAAAAUCCGAAAAUCUUAAAAAAAAUAGAAAAAUCAGUGAAGUUGGCAAAUGUGUUGCCAAUGUUAUCCGAUAAAUAGCAAAAAAAUAGAGGGAAAUAGGGGUGGAAGUACUUGUUUCAAUCGGAAGGAGAGCGGAGCCCCUCCUUCGGCUUCCAUUGGCCUUGGCAGCGGCGAGGCGGCCUCGCCUGCUGCCCUCAGGCAGCCUCUUCUCCCUCUCCUUCCCUUUGUUUGUCCUCCAGUUUCCACCAUGUGCAGCAAGCUCAACUAUCCUCUAGCGGCUUCCAGAGGCUUUCUCUCCCUCUCCCUCUACUUCAUUGUGCCCCCCUCUCUUUCCUUCUCCUUCUCCCCCUCCUCACUGGUGUCUCGUUUUGAAUGUUGGAACUGUCCCGGUCGGCCAUUGGUAUUGUUCGUCAUGCCUUGAAUCGGAUGGAUUAGGGCGUUUCAGCAAACCAUGUUACAUGUGCAACUUGACACUUAAACCCAUCUUCAUCAACUUUCACUUCUUAAUUUCAUAACUUUUUAAUGUUCAAUUUUAGUUCUCAAUUUUCUAUAAAUAUUGUGGAAUCUACAUUUCAAAUUUAUCUUAAUGCUCCCAUGAUCAAGGAUUUAAGUGCCAUUGUCACUUGGCAUGUAGUGCCACUACCGACAUACUUGAUGUGCUCGUAUGAAAUGAAAAAGAAAAUUACUUAAGAACCUUUUUGUCUUGGUGCUGGGUGGUACCCAACCAUGUCAAUCUGGGAGGAAUUGACAUGGUUCUAUAUGGGUCAGCACCACCCAUAAAAAGCUGUUUGCUUGGUAUGUUGUAGCAAGUGCUGAUACUGGCAUAGCACAUGCAGGAACUUGAAACCAUGGCCA
RNAcentral lists this long non-coding RNA (9032 nucleotides) under Elaeis guineensis (African oil palm). RNAcentral's name for it is "long non-coding RNA (EGUI_LNC042078)". The record is from RNAcentral. Lineage: Eukaryota; Viridiplantae; Streptophyta; Magnoliopsida; Arecales; Arecaceae.